UGUUUCUCUCUCAUCGAUGUUUCUAACUCUCUAUCCCUCUCUCUUCCUCUCUGUAAAAAAUCAAUAAAAUAUAUUUUAAAGGCGGAGGGCCUGGUUGGGACCACAGUCUGAUGACUACUUGUGAGGAUAAAUGUGUCCUUAACAAUAGACUCUUUUUUCCCAUAUGUUAGUCCUGCUAUCUGCAUGCCUGACACCCCCCCUUUCCUACCCCCCCUCCCCCCCCCCGGGCACCCACAGUGGAGGUACAUGUUGUAGCUGUCACGCCAGCACUCACCCCUGGCUCAGGCUCUGGGCAGCCUGGAAAUGGGGCCAGGGAAGGCGCUGCCUGGCCUCCCAGUGGGAGUGUGCAUUCAUGUGGGCAGGUGCAUUCAGGCGCCGACCCAGCCUGGCUGAGGGGCACUCAGACCUCCACCCACUGAUGAGUUUUGGGGGCUGAGCCAACCCCAAGGAAUACUGGCUGCCAGCAGGGCUGGGGGGUUUGCAGAGCAUGGCGCUGAGGGGGUGAGAGGGAGCGUUUAACAGCCUAGGUGUUCUUAGCAAAAGAAUUUCUGGCAGAGAGAUUGGUUAUCGUAAAGUGAGGGGCUCUGAUGGAUGAGAUUCGGGUCGGUGUGAUCGGCUGCGAGUCCAAGACGGCUUUCCGCUUCAGCGGGGCCUCUAGCUCCCACCUCCAUGGUGGGCUGGCCUGGGGCCGGACCCUGCAGGGCCCAGUCCCCUAAGCUGAGUGCUGGGCGUGCCAGCAUCCCCCUGCCCAGCCCCGCCCAGCUCUCUGUGCCAGGAUGUUGGCCCCUAACUAUUAUAUAAUAGAAGCGGACCUGGCUCUUCAGGCCCUGGGGCCAGACCCUCACAGCCAGCCCAGCCGCAGGCCUUAUGUGUGCCCAGCGGCUUCUCUGUCGGAGGGAUUCUCCAAGUUAUUCUGGGACCACUGCCCUCUGCCCGACCACCUCCUUCCCCAGUCAGGGUGGGAAUGGCUCAUAGUUUCCUUCCUAGGGCAAAUUCCCAAUAAGGGUGCUCACUCUGCAGUUGCCCGUGGAAAUCCUGAGGGCUUUUCAGCUGCCCCCCCCCCCCCCCUACACCCCCUGGCAGAAGGGGGCAGCUCCUUGCUCAUCUAUGGGCUCAGGGAAGGCCCGAGGAGCUGGGCUGGGGACUGGUGUGUUUGGUGAUGGGUUAACUCAGUUGUCAGAGCCAAGCCCACGUGGGUCAUCUUUACCCACUUAGUAUGGCAUGGGGAUGGGAGAGCCUCUGACCGUAACCCGCAACAGCCCUCCUGACCUCACCUCGUUACUGAGCACCUAGGCCAGACGCUGCCUAUCCCAUGGCCAUACGGAGGCCCAGAGCAGUGGUUCUCAAACUGGGGUGUCUCUGAGAACCCCUUGAGGAACCUGUUAGGCCUGCAGACUCCCUAGCCCCCAGCCAACCUCAGGGGCUCCAGAAUCGGCAUUGUUAUUAGGUGUGUGUGAUGCAGGGGAUCCCAGGACCGGGCUGCCUGCGGGCUGAUGGGUAAAGCGGUGUGAUGUGAUGAUGAGUGUGGGGGGAGGUGGAAGGGGCCCUGAAAAACAGCCGGAAGAGGUAAAUCUUGAAGAACAAAGCAGGGGAUGGUCAAGGUAGCUUACCCAACCAAAUGCUUCGUACCAGGCACGCUCUGAGCCUCGGAUGGGAACGAAGUCAUUGAAUCCUCCAGCAACCCCAUCGAUCUCAGAAAGGACCAGACGGAAGCCCAGAGGGGUGGCAGCUUGCCCAAGGUUCUGUGUCUGGGCCGUGGUGAGCCGGGCCUCACCCUCUUACUCCGUCCCACUGCAUUGGGGCCACGGCACCCGCUCCCGCAGAGGCUGUGCGGGCGGGGGCUGUGGAGGAGGGAAAAGCGUGAUGCGGUGAGGCUGCCGAAAGGCUCAGAUCCCAAUGCGUGGGCAGCUUGGGGUUUGCUGGUGGCAUCGAUGGCCGUGAUCUUGGUUAGGGCAGAAAACUUUGGGCCAGGUGACCGUUGCCAUAAUGCUGUGUUGAGAGGGCUGAGGCCGUGGCUGGGGCUCCCAGCGUGUUUCCUCGCCGUCUGAACACGACAGGGCCCGGGGAGCAGCCGGGGGGGGGAGAAUUCUCCGUGACCAGAGCCCUGCCCAGCCCUUGGGGUCUGAGGGGGGAGGGGAAAGAUGCUGGAGAGGGACUCCGCUCUCUUUAAGGAGACAUCUAAGAGCUUUGAAUGCUUCUUCCCUUUAAUUCUCACAGCCCUCCCUGCAACCUGGGCGUGUCUAUUCCUGCGUACAGGUGUGACGGCAGAGAGAAGGCUGAUCGGCAGAGAGUGGGGCCUCGGGUCCCGCCACACAGCUGGGCCCCAUGACCAGGCCCCCAGGGUACGGUGCCAGGCUGGGUGGGGAGGCGCCUGGGGGUCAGCUGGGCAGAUUCCAGCCCAACCUGGGCUCAGGGUAGAGUGGCCUGGCGUCCGGGGACAAGUUACCUGUCAGGAGACGGCAUUCCUCGUGGCGGCGCUCGGAGGAGUCAGCGACCUGGGGUCUGGGGACCGGCCUCCUGGUCGGGGUCCCCGAUGCUGGGGAUGGAGCUUCUGCUGCCCGAGCACCCAGGGGCAGCGGGGAGUGCGGCUCAGAGGAGGGACCUAGGUCAGGCGUGGAUUCCGGAAGCCCUUUCCGCCUCUCAGAAGCAGCCCAGCCCGUCACAGCCCCUCCCCCGUCUUGGCCUCUCUGACCAUCCCCUCUCCGUUCCCCAGUGUCUUCCAGCCCGCACUCCCGGCUCAUUGGCUUGAACCUGGAAACACACGGAAGAAGGCUUUGCCCAGCAUGGGCUGUUUUGGUGGAGGAGGGGGAGUGUCUGACUUUCCACUACAGCCCCCCGGGACGCUGGUGCCUUCUGCAGAGCGGAGCAGUUUGCAGCCUCCUGCCCCCACCGGGGACAGUGUUCAUGACGCUCAGCUUUGCAGGAACAGUGCCUUGGGAUGUGACAGAGCUGAGAUGCUCUCACUUCCUCUUAUGCUUUUCCUUUGAAACGGGAGAGACGGUCGUGGCCUCCUGGGCCCAUUUUACAGACAGGGUGACUGAGGCCACGGCUGCUGGAGGGAAGCUGAGCCAGGGCCUGUCCCUCUGAGAAUCUUGUGUCUUUAAGCUGUUGAUUUUAAGAGGGUAUAGGGAGGAGCGUCUGGCGUCUGGCUGGGGUCGGUCUUCGGGGCGCCUCCCAGGGUCCUCUCUCUGUCCUACCUGAGCCAGGCCUGGCCUCUGGGGACGUUCACGCGGGCUCUCCUCUGGCUGCGCGUCAGUGUCAGGCCCGGGACGUCACUGAGGAGGUGGGUCUCCGCCUGACACCCCUUCUCCCGGUCACACUGCGUUCUCGGGCUGCCCUUGUCCACUUGCGAUUCCGCCGAGACUCCAGUCCGCGGCCGCCUGUGGGCGGAAGGCACUGGGUUCUGGCUUGUCUGGGUGUGCCCUGGGGGCAGUGAGGCCAGCCCCUGGCCGGACCAAGCAUUGGGGAACAUGGUGCCACCGUGGAGACCCGCGGCCCCCUACCCGGCAGCGCGUCCCCCUAAGCGGUGGGGAGGUGGGGGGCCGGGGUCAAGGGAAGGGCCCCCAUCUUCACUCACCGGCCAGCCAGUCGACGGUGGACUCGCCUGGAGUAGCCACGGACAGCAAGAAAAAUAAGGGACUUUCAGGGGCAGCUGUGUUUUCUGACUCAAGUCAUAAUGCCCCUAAAAAUCCUUAUUGCUCUUGCAGUGGGCAUCGGGCAGUGGCUGGCAACCCCCCCCUCACCACGUGGCCCCUAGGGGAGGGAAAGGGCAUCCAGGGGACCCAUUGAGACCUGCUGGUUAUUAAAACGCGUUCGUUGGGCCGAUGCAUUGCCUUGCAUAUGUUUUUACCAUUUUCUUUUUCGGUGGAGGAUUGGGCAUCCAGCUAUUCCCGCUGGAUGAAGAGUCUCCUGGCUGUGUGUGGGUGAAGGUUCAGGAGGCCCAGCUGCACGUGCAGGGCACGAGGAAGGGCGGCCGUGGGGCCAGGUAGGACGAGGGCCACGGAGCUGGGCUGGCCGGCUGCCCACUUUCCUGAGAAGCUGGAACCGUUGAGGGGCCCUGGGCAGGCACUUGCACUGUGUUUUAACACAGAGGAGAGCCCCAGUCCACUCUCUGAGACCCGGUGAGCUGGCCAGUUUGCAAACUCGCUUGCAGUGGGUUCAAGGCUCCCUCCCCCUCCCCGCUAAGGUGACCCUGGAGCUUGCCGGGUAUUUUCUAUCCCCAUUUCACUUCCUGAAUCUCCUCCAUUCUCAGUAGGUGCCCCCAACCCCACCUUUCCUCUCCCCACCCGACAGAUAGUUUGGUUAAGCAGCCAGAAUAUCAACUUGUGACAUGGGUCCCCCCCUCCGCCCACACCUCUUAACCCAGGAACACCAGUCCACAAGCAUGUCACCAAUCCGUCCUGACAGCUGUGGCUGGGUGGGUGUAGUCCCAUGCACCCAAAAGUCCCUGGUUCGAUUCCCGCUGAGGCCACAUACCUAGGGUGCAGAUUCAGUUCCUGGUCUGGAUGCAUGCCGGAAGCAGCUAAUUGAUGUUCCUCUGAAAUCAAUGAAAACAUUUUGUUUUAAGCCACCAAAUCCCACAGCAACAGAAGCUUCCUGUCUAGCUGCGGCUGAGCACUGGCCUGCCCGCGGAUGGGCAGACGAGGCAGGGAACAGGCAGCAAGCCCCAUCUCGUGUCCCGUUGACUGUCCAGGUCUGCAGGGAGAUUCACCCCCCAGGUAUUGCUCAGGUUCCCUCCCAGGUGCCGACUCGAAAGCUCUCAUCACUCAAGAAGACCACAUGUGGAACCUUGACGGCCAUCAUACUCAUUCCCGGCCAGCCAGGCCCCUUGCUGCCCAGGCCCAGGUCGGUCGUCUGAGCCUGCCUCCACACCGGCUCUGCCAGACAGUCUCUAAGGGGCUGGAGUUGCACCGGAUCUUCCUCUUUUUACUGCCCAGGGGGAGAGGCAGCGCUAAGGUAACUAUCCAGGGGCUGAGGGAGCAGCGUGUAUCCCUCCCUGGUAAGCGGCAGGUGGAGCUUUCGUGGAAUGAGAUUCUCGAAGAUUACAAUGGACACAGGGUAAUACACCGCGUCCCAUCCUCAUCAGCUAAGCAUCUGCUAACUUCAAAUUAAUUGUCCCUGUGGCCCCUUUGACCUGCCAUCUCCCCCAAAACUCCUUGUUCCUGAGUGUGCUCCUCAGUCUUUACCCCAAAACGACACAUCAAUUUUUGAAAAGGCAAUACAUCAAAAAUAAAUACUGUUCUCCCCCUACCCACACACACACACCUCUCCCGUUACAAAAGAACUGCCUUGCAUGGUAGAACAUUUCAAAAAUGCUGAAGGAUGGAAAAGGCUCAUAAAUGCCCAUAGCUGGGAUAAUGUCUGCUAAUGAAGUACAGCGUUUUCCCCGUUAGCAGGACUGGGGCUUUUAAAACGGGCGAGGCUCGCCACCCAUUUGAGCGAUGGCUCUGUGCCCUUGGGAGCCAGAAAGUCUCCUUUCUCUUUGCCAAUCAGGCUGGAGGACCAUGGGCUGAAGCAUGCCUCCAGCCAGGGAGCUCAGGGAGCUCAGAGGCCUGGUUGGAGGGCGUUGGAGCAGCGCUGGGUCUCUCCAGAUGGAUGACGGGGUUGGGGAAGAUGCUAGAAAUGUGGGCUGUUGCAUUGCUUCUCCACCUUAGUCACCCAAGACUCACGGAGAGUCUUCACACACACACACACACACUCCACGGCCCAGGCCCCACCCCCCACCACUUGGCUCUGAAUUGUCGGGGCAGCUGGAGUUGGUAUCUGUGUCUGCUUUCCGGAUGGUCCUCAGCUGAUCCCGUGAAGCAGCCAGAGCACCAUCCGCUCUCUGCCCACCAUUCAGAGGCAGGAGAAGGCUCCUCCAGCUGUGCCCCCAGAGGCGGGUCAGGCGAUGUGGCCAUUUGCGGUGGGCAGACCUUCACUUCCUGUCUUUUCUCAGCUGCUCAGAGUCAGCCUUUGAUCCUGGUUUCACAGAAGGAAGACUGAGGCCAAGGGGAUCAGGAGACUUACCCGAGGACACACGGCCAGGAUGUGGCAGAGGUGGGGGUGAGGUCUGCGGCUGCUGACUCCCGAGAGCCCUGAGACGUCACAGAAAAGCAGCCUUGGACCUCGAAUGAGUUCCAGACCUGUCCCUGACGACCUGGCCAUGCAGAGGUGCCUGGAGGAAUAGUGGAUGCCAUGCCCUGGGUAUGUGGGGAGAGGUGCUGGCCAGCAUCGACGGCCCUUCUGACAAUGCCUGUCUUCUUCAGAGGAUCUCCCCUCCCCCGCCGAGUACCCUUGGGGUUCAGAUGAGGCCAGUCCUACCCUCCAGGCUUGAGAGGCAGGCAUGUGUCCCAGGAUGGAUGCUGAGACUCCCCCUUGGGACUUUUGCAGCAAUGCAUGAGGAAAGAGGCACUCCGUUUUUGUGGGAGUUGCCAAGUGGACAGAAGUUGCCAAGCUUGGAACGGCUGGUGGCCAUCCUGUGCUCUGCUUGAGGAUACAGCCAACGAGGAGGAAAGAGAAGGCGAGUGUGCUCUAUCCAUACAUCAGGAAGCCUCUGGAUCAAGCCAUGCCUGAAGCCAGCUGCACCCCUGGACUAACCUGAUUACAUGAGCCAAUGCUGUUUUUCCCCCCAACACUAUCUGGAGGUGGGUUGCUAUCAUAGAAAGGGUCCUAAGAAAGGCGAUGCUUUUCUUUGAUGUCAUUUUUAGGAAGUCAACAUUGAGGUAUACUUUACAUGCAAUAGAUUUCACCCAUGUUAAGUGUCCCAUUCAUAAGUAGUGACACUCUUGUAACUAUCAACCAGCAUUCAAGUUCCCUCCUUCCCCUUCACUUACAGGUAAGGCCAGAGAACCACUGACCUACCUAUAUUCUAAUGGUUCGCUUUUGCCUUUUCUAGAAUUCCAUAUAAAUGUCAUGUAGGGUAUUCUCUCUUGUGUCUGGCUUCUUUUAGUCAACAGGGUUUGGAGAUGUAUUCAUGUUGUUGCACAUGUCAGUAGUUCAUUCCUUUUUGUUGCCAAGUAGUGUUCUGUUGGAUGGAUGUACCACAAUUUGCUUAUCCAUUUAUGGGAUGGUGACCAUUUGGACUACUUCCAGAUUUUGGCUAUUAUGAAUAAAACUGUUACAACAGUCACGU
This is a long non-coding RNA of Pipistrellus kuhlii (Kuhl's pipistrelle), 7114 nucleotides long. RefSeq lists it as uncharacterized. NCBI's taxonomy places the organism in Eukaryota, Metazoa, Chordata, Mammalia, Chiroptera, Vespertilionidae. The transcript is spliced from 2 exons. The record is from RefSeq and is a predicted model, not a curated record.